AUUAGUAAUGGGCGAAAACCUGAACUAGCAACGCCGCGUGUGCGAAGAAGGCCUUCGGGUUGUAAAGCACUUUUUGAGAGGAGGAGGAAGGACGGUACUCUCAGAAUAAGUCUCGGCUAACUACGUGCCAGCAGCCGCGGUAACACGUAGGAGGCAUACGUUAUCCGGAUUUACUGGGCGUAAAGCGCGGGUAGGUGGUUUGGUAAGUAGGGCGUGAAAGCUCCUGGCUCAACUGGGAGAGGCCGUUCUAAACUGCCGAACUAGAGGAUGGUAGAGGGAGGUGGAAUUCCGGGUGUAGCGGUGGAAUGCGCAGAUAUCCGGAGGAACACCAGUGGCGAAAGCGGCCUCCUGGACCAUUCCUGACACUCAGACGCGAAAGCUAGGGUAGCAAACGG
Molecule: ribosomal RNA, 395 nt
Filed under: uncultured bacterium
Lineage: Bacteria
Description: bacterial SSU rRNA
Rfam family: Bacterial small subunit ribosomal RNA
Source: RNAcentral